Phyllostomus hastatus (greater spear-nosed bat) is the source of this 2242-nucleotide long non-coding RNA. RefSeq lists it as uncharacterized. The transcript has 5 exons. The record is from RefSeq and is a predicted model, not a curated record. NCBI's taxonomy places the organism in Eukaryota, Metazoa, Chordata, Mammalia, Chiroptera, Phyllostomidae.
CACAGGGCACUCAGCAGUGUGCGUUCGCAGUACAGUGUGAGGGAUGAGGACUAGAAGGAGCUUUGGGGCAGCCUAGAAAAGAAGCCCGGUGGCUCUUGGCGGCAGUGGCGCGGGCCUAGGACCCAGACCUGGUGCAGGAGCACUGGAGCACUGGGGCCAGAGGGCGGGAGGGGAGGAUAGCGCAGCAUCUGCCUCGGAUCCCGUUGUUCACCUCGAAGUUCCGCCCGGAUCCUGGUGGCCAGCAGGGGUGUCGAUGCACUGGCUACGAGUUCGGGUGUUUGAAAAUGAUUUUGCAUGUGACCAAUCUGACCAAACAAGACGAAAAAUGAGUGGAUGUGGACAAUACAAACAGGAAAAAUGCCCUACAUGAAAGUGGACCAGAGAUGGAGGGGAUUCACUGGUACCUAGGUUGUAAACUGAUUGAUCUUUUUCAAAUCCUGGAUUGGAUUCUGCUCUGAUACAUGGGAGAAGCAAGUCCCAGAUACAGACAAGGGUGGCAGCUCAGCUCUCACGAGUGUUGUGAGGAUCAGCAGAGCCUGAGACAUGAAGAGGCUCCAUCUGUGUCAUUUCUGGGCCUGAUUAAGAGAUGGGCUUGAGAGACUUGUGGAAGGAAGGGCUACUCAGAAGCCGAAAAGGAAUCCCUUAAGCCCUCAGCAGGCAUCAGAAGCUACAGGGCAUCCUUGGUUGACGGUACAUGAGCCCAGACUGAGAGGAGACAGGAAGAGCGCUGCUUGUCCUGGAUCCUGGACUCACCACACUCAGGAGUGAGGGUGGUAAUCCCACUAGAGGCUGAGCCUGAGCACUGGGCACUGAGGACAUCUGGGGCCCGGUGUGAGUCCUGCCUCCCAUGAGACUGCCUGGAGACAUGGGGCCACUUCUAAGCCCGACAAGCCCACCUGACUUCUGUCUCUGUGAGUUUCCUCCCCCUGGAUGCUUCAUACGAACGCAGUCACAGAAAACGUGAUCUUUUCUCUCUGGCUUCUGUCACUUAGCUGCAGAAUGUUGAUGUUCAUUCACUCUGUUGCUGGUGUCAGGACUUUGUUUUUAUGGCUUAAAAAACCCUCUUGGGUUAUGAAGACACUAGAUUUGUUUAUAUGAGUGGGAUCCAGCAUGAAGUGGUGUGUAGAUGUGAACCCAAACCAGCCUCAUGUAAUAGUGGUGAGAACAGAAGGACAGUUAAGGGGAGUCAGUGAGGAUGAGGAGGGACAGCCCCACAGUGGGAGGGAGGAGGCGUCUCCACAGCAACACAGCUCACAUUUUCUGUCCCCAAACCUCAUGUGCCACCUCUGCUUCCCUGGACACAUCAGCAGAAAGUUUUUCUACCUGUGGUCCAGCUGUCCCUCAUCACCUCCUGGGUCAUCAGAUGGGCUCCAUGGCUCCCCCCACUCUGAACGGUGCCCUGUCCCCUCUGUGUUCAUGUCCUGGCUGCAGCCUGAGCCAUUCUCUCGCUGUCCCAAGCCUGAAACAGCAGCACCCCGAGGACCACCAGGACCAAUCCAGCCAUGAACAUGUGGACCAGGUCUCCACUGUGUAGUUUUGGGUUUGGGAGGUUGCAAAAUGUGGAGACAGAGGUCAGCAUGGUCAGGCAGCAAACUCCUGGACUCUGGUGUCCCCCCAGGCUCUCCCCUCCCCUUGAUGUCAGUGUCACUGGGAUGUCUGAAUCCAGCUCUGGCUCCCAGCUGCCAUGACGAGAGUGACCUGUGCCCAAGAGCUCAGGAUCAGUGAAAAAAUGGUCUCAGUUCAGGAACAAUUUAGAGCUGUGCGUUCUGUGUUGAGUGUGAGACUAAAGACCCAGAAGCUUAGUGUUGUGUAGCUGAGAGAUCCCAUGUUUUCCACCUGUGGGGGCCCAGGUCCAUGGAGGAGGGGUGGUGUCGAGGGCUCCUGAGUGGCAGGUGCACAAAGGGGUGAAAGUCUGGGGCAGGUCUCCUUCACCCCACUCUCUGGGGUCUGCUGUUUAAUCGUCACCUGGAAAUUUUCAUCUGUUCAUUGUUUUAUUAAUUCAUUUUAUAUGAUGACAAAACUACCAUGGGAGAUAUAAUUACUAGAUUAGAUAUAUGUGCAUGUGGAUGAAUAUUUGUAGAUAUAUACAUUUAAUAUCAAUAUACAAGUAAAUGCAGAGUAGGGCAAAAGUAGGCUUACAGUUGUGAAUUCAUGAAACACAGAAUUAUUUACUGUGUUAUAUGUAUUAAUUCUUGCAUUAUUUUUUGUGCAACUUUAAUCCUACUUUGGCCCAUACCUUGUA